This 21-nucleotide non-coding RNA is filed under the name Caenorhabditis elegans. The record is from RNAcentral. Lineage: Eukaryota; Metazoa; Nematoda; Chromadorea; Rhabditida; Rhabditidae.
UGAGUAAUUGAUAAAUGAGAG